RNAcentral lists this RNase P RNA (416 nucleotides) under Pigmentiphaga litoralis. RNAcentral describes it as "Bacterial RNase P class A". It matches the Rfam family "Bacterial RNase P class A". From Rfam's summary of the family: Ribonuclease P (RNase P) is a ubiquitous endoribonuclease, found in archaea, bacteria and eukarya as well as chloroplasts and mitochondria. Lineage: Bacteria; Pseudomonadati; Pseudomonadota; Betaproteobacteria; Burkholderiales; Alcaligenaceae. The record is from Rfam by way of RNAcentral.
AGAGCAGAUCAGGCAAUCGCGGCGCGCAAGCGGCGAGGAAGGUCCGGACUCCAUAUAGCAGGAUGGCGGCUAACGACCGUCCGGCGAUCGUCCCGUGCGCAAGCAUGGGGCGCGAAGCCGAGGAACAGGGCCACAGAGACGAGUCUGCGGCGAGGGCGGAUUUCGAUCCGCACCGGCACGGCAUCUCCGUGCUGCGCGUUCGGGUCACCCCGGGCGCGGCGCAGCAGGGUGAAACGCGGCAACCUCCAUCCGGAGCAACACCAAAUAGGCAUGCAUGCGGCCCCCGGGCCGUGGAGGGCGGCUAGUUCGCGCAUGCGGGUAGGUGGCUUGAGCUGGCCAGCAAUGGUCCGCCUAGAGGAAUGAUUGCCCGCGGGGCGACCCGUGUACAGAAUCCGGCCUAUCGAUCUGCUUUGCCU